This 82-nucleotide transfer RNA is filed under the name Galerina marginata CBS 339.88. RNAcentral's name for it is "tRNA-Pro". It matches the Rfam family "tRNA". From Rfam's summary of the family: Transfer RNA (tRNA) molecules are approximately 80 nucleotides in length. Their secondary structure includes four short double-helical elements and three loops (D, anti-codon, and T loops). Further hydrogen bonds mediate the characteristic L-shaped molecular structure. tRNAs have two regions of fundamental functional importance: the anti-codon, which is responsible for specific mRNA codon recognition, and the 3' end, to which the tRNAs corresponding amino acid is attached (by aminoacyl-tRNA synthetases). tRNAs cope with the degeneracy of the genetic code in two manners: having more than one tRNA (with a specific anti-codon) for a particular amino acid; and 'wobble' base-pairing, i.e. permitting non-standard base-pairing at the 3rd anti-codon position. Lineage: Eukaryota; Fungi; Basidiomycota; Agaricomycetes; Agaricales; Galerinaceae. The record is from RNAcentral.
GGCCUGAUGGUCUAGUAGUAUGAUUCCUUGUUAGGGUUUUUCCAAUUCGAGGAGGUCCCGGGUUCAAUUCCCGGUUAGGCCC